ACCAUUAAUUUUUAUGAACCCCUAAUUUAUAAUGAAUGACUCCAUAUUUAUAUGGAAGACACCAUGCUAGGAUUAGUAACAAGAAUUUAUAAUUCUCCAAAAUGCAAAUAUAAACCAACAUGGAUAGACCAUUGGUAGUUACCGAACCUAAAUUUAAUGCAAUAACAUCCACAAGAAAACUCUGCAGCACUCACUCGUUAACCUAACACCAGCGCAUUACAGGAAAGAUUCAAAAAAAGAGAAGGAAUUCGGCAAAUGACGACCCCGCCUGUUUACCAAAAACAUCGCCUCUUGACUUAUAAUAAGAGGUCUAGCCUGCCCAGUGAAUUUUAAACGGCCGCGGUAUCCUAACCGCGCGAAGGUAGCAUAAUCACUUGUUCUUUAAAUGGGGACUCGUAUCAACGGCAUCACGAGGGUCUUACUGUCUCCUCUUUUUGAUCAGUGAAAUUGAUCUUCCCGUGAAGAAGCGGGAAUAUUUUUAUAAGACGAGAAGACCCCAUGGAGCUUUAAACCAAAUAACAACUUAACCACUUAUCCCAUAAUAAAUUUAACCCCUGUUAUAAGGUUUUUGGUUGGGGUGACCGCGGAGUAAAGCACAUCCUCCACGACGGAAAGAAUAAAAUCUUUAUUUAAGAACCACACUUCUAGAAAUUAGUAUACUAACGUUUACUGACCCGACAAUCGAUCAACGGACCAAGUUACCCUGGGGAUAACAGCGCAAUCUACUUCGAGAGCUCAUAUCGACAAGUAGGCUUACGACCUCGAUGUUGGAUCAGGGUAUCCCGGUGGUGCAGCCGCUACCGAAGGUUCGUUUGUUCAACGAUU
This 825-nucleotide ribosomal RNA is filed under the name Polypedates leucomystax (Java whipping frog). RNAcentral describes it as "partial 16S ribosomal RNA". It matches the Rfam family "Bacterial large subunit ribosomal RNA", at positions 1513 to 2589 of the family's 2925-position model. The record is from RNAcentral. Lineage: Eukaryota; Metazoa; Chordata; Amphibia; Anura; Rhacophoridae.